AUGGUGUGGAAUGUGAAGGGUCCUGGAGGUCUGCCAGAGUGAAUCCCCAUCCUGCAGGGGCUGAGGCACCCAGCUGCUACCAGUACUACCACCAUGGUUUUGUGUUAGGUGCUGAGGACACAGUAACAAUCAGAUCGAUCCAGACCACACUGUGCUCUCAUUCCAGCUGACAAAAUUGUCAAAAAAGAAAAAUGCAAUAAGUGCUACAACAGAGAUCUAGACAAAGUGUAGCAGGGCCACUUGGUGGGACCCUGCUUUGUCC
This 262-nucleotide long non-coding RNA is filed under the name Pan troglodytes (chimpanzee). Its description in RNAcentral is "long non-coding RNA NONPTRT011506". Lineage: Eukaryota; Metazoa; Chordata; Mammalia; Primates; Hominidae. The record is from RNAcentral.